This 253-nucleotide ribosomal RNA is filed under the name uncultured bacterium. RNAcentral describes it as "partial 16S ribosomal RNA". It matches the Rfam family "Bacterial small subunit ribosomal RNA", at positions 524 to 776 of the family's 1533-position model. The record is from RNAcentral.
UACGUAGGGUCCGAGCGUUGUCCGGAUUGACUGGGCGUAAAGCGCACGCAGGCGGCCCGGCGCGUGGGGUGUGAAAGCUGGCGGCUUAACUGCCAGACGCCAUCCCAUACGGCUGGGCUCGAGCCCUGCAGAGGUCCAUGGAAUUGCCGGUGUAGUGGUGAAAUGCGUAGAGAUCGGCAGGAACACCCAGGGGGAAACCAGUGGACUGGGCAGGAGCUGACGCUCAGGUGCGAAAGCGUGGGGAGCGAACCGG